UUAGAGCCCUACCUGCUGCAUAUGGGGGUUCCCAGGCUAGGGGUUGAAUCAGAGCUGAAGCUGCUGGCCUACUUCACAGCCACAGCCACGGCAAUGCAGGAUCCCAGCCGUGUCUGCGACCUACACCGCAACUCAAGGCAAUGCCGGAUCCUUAACCCACUGAGCAAGGCCAGGGAUCGAACCCACGUCCUCAUGGAUCCCAGUCGAGUUCCUUAACCACUGAGCCACAAUGGGAACUCCGAAAGUCAUUUCUUUCAAUGGCAUUUCCAUAUUGGAAGCCUAAUUAAUUAAGGAUGUCAGCUUGACUUUUUUAUCGGCAGGGGUACCAUCCUGAUUCAAACACUAAACAGUUUCAGGAAAGAUUAAAUUUGUUCCUGACCUGAGAGGAAUCCCAUUUUCUUCAUGACAAGCUCUGCUGACACAAUGGCCUGGGAAACCCUGCACACCUGCUACCGUUGUAGGUGGAUUUCCUCCUCAGGUAAGCCCCAGAUUCCAUGCAGUGGUGUGUUUUUUUCUUUUUUCUUUCUUUUUUUAAUCCUAAGCACAUUUUAUUAACUUCAUAAGCAUCAAGUCUUACUUUACUUUUCCCUUCAAAGUCUUGCAGGCUCCAUGAAAUCUUUUCCAAUGUCUCCAGCCCACAAUGACCGCUUUCUUCAAACUCCUACUUAGUGUCACAUAGUUUAAUACUCAAUUGGUCUCUAAUUACAGUAAUUAGAUUGUAAGCUCCUCAAAAGCAAGGAUUUUAGCCCGAAGCUAGGCCCAGAGGCGGUUUCAAUAACUGCUUGCUGAGUGAUGGAUUUGUAACUCUGGAUGGUUUCCAGCCAGCAGGACAGACGGCUGCAUGAGUGCUGCCGGGAGAACCCCUCUCCCCGCUUCGGCUUUCAGAGCAGGCCCUCUGUCUGUGGGGACUUCGACAAAGGCCACGGAUUGCUGCCAGGCAGCUGGGCAGCCCGAGGAGCACGCCCUAGGCCCCUGAUGAUUUCCUCCAGCUCCUCUUUUCUCGUCUGGAAACCUACAUGUUGCAAUUUCCCAUUUCCAGGUUUGAGACAUCAGCAAGAACAAGCAGAAGAGGUAGACGUCUCAGGUGGGCUUUGCUGGUACCUAACUUUCCCGUGGAGACAUCACAUCACAAAUGAAACGAGGACACGUUGCACAUUUCAGAGCGAGUGACAUGCCGUGUGGAGACUGAUUUCUAUAACCCCUUUUGCCAGAUUCGUCCAGAAGCUGGACUAAUAUUUUAAUCGUAUUCUCUUCAGAGGAAAAGGCAGCUGGUGAAAUUGUUGGAGGUGACAUGCCAAUCUACAUAGAAACCAAGUGUGGUUUGGAGACCACCAUGGAAAUAAUAACUUGAGUCAUUAAGUGGAGAAUGAAAGGAAGAAAGAAACCAGAUAAGUUUUCCAGGAUCAAGAAGUUGUUUUUAUUAUAAACUAACCUUAGGGAGACCAUAGGCUUUCUUAUUAUUUUAACAUUUAAAUUCAAAUACUGAUGGCUUUAUCUUUUCACUGCUGAUUACUCUUGGCAACAGCAGAGUUAGCAAGGAGGGCAGUGGAACAUCUUUCAACUUUUUAUUCUCGAGUUGCUGUUUUAAUUGUGUGUGUAAGCUCAGUUGUGCAGGCAAAGCGUGGCAAGGAGCCCACGGUGUCAUAAUUUGUGUCUUGAUAUAGGAUUUCUCUCUUCUUGUGAACUUGGCUUCCCAAGGCCUGAAUUCUAAUAGCUGGUACAAAUUCACUGGCAUCCUAAAAUCUAAAGGAAGAGGCCCCUCUCUGUCCCUCCCUCUCUCCCUUCUUCCCCUGCCCCUUUUAUUUCCUUGUAGACUUGGAUGAAACCAAAUCUUCAGAUCUUUACAUUGGUCUGCCCUGAGCCCUAGCAAUAAGUGUCUGCAGUACAACAUGUGGAGCUCUGGGAAAUACAAUCUUUUGCUUGGGAACUGCCCUCAGAUGGAAAUGGAUGUUUAGAUUUUUACUGGGAAUUUGUUUGUUCUUGUGAAUUUUGUGGGAUUAGGGUUGGUGCUGUGAUGUUCUCAUGUGCUCUGAUGACCCUUAGGUAUUUCAGAAAAAAGGAAAAUGAGAGUCUUAGAUCAAAUUUUGGAGGUGCUAAAGCUCUAUCCAAUUAUACUGGCAGAUGGUUCAGGGUGCAGCUGCGAAGAGAAGAUCCAAAAGUCCACACAAAGGCACAAAUACUACCUCUUCUGCCUGGAAGUGAGUCAGUGGAAGGAAAUAGGGUAGGGCAUAAUUUUGGACUGAAAUUUCUCUGUGGCAGCAACAGAUUGAACUGAUAAUAAGAGAAAGUUUGUAUUGUUAACUUUUAUAAGGUGGCAGUCAAUUUCAGGAAUUUUACAGUGCUGGCAUAUUAUUUGGGCCAUAUUUUCAUCUGGUGCUUACCGUUCACCCUGCCUGGUUGGAGAGUUUAGCUGAGUGGAAUCCAAGAGGAGAAAGAGAACCAGGGAUGAUAGUGGCCUUGGGGCUAAUGUAAUUAAUGUUCUGACCUGUUCAGCAGCUUUUGGAGCCCACAGCCUAGAGGCAUUCAUAAAAGCCUUGAAGGGAUGAAGUAGCCACGUCUUUGACUCCUGGAGGAUGUGGGGGAAGUGGCUCCAUGAAGGAGACGAUUAGACUUUUUUGGCUUCUCUCCUGAUCUCCUUUCCUGAAGAGGAUGUCAACUCUCGGAGGAGACUGUGGCUCCCAUGCUGAAUUUCACUGGGUUAAUAAGAGAAUAGCCAAAAAAAAAAAAGAAUGUCAGUGUCUAAAGAGGGAAAGUCACUUGUCUAUUCAUGAUACUGGUUGGUUAGGUAGAGAGCAUUGAUUUGUCUUUGUACUAAUAAUGGACAGAACUACAGAACUACUGUGCAAAGUCAGAAGUCACUUGGACACUUUCUCAGGUGAGGUGAGAUGGCUUGGGAACUGCUGAGAAACAUCACUCUUGGCAUUCCUCUAAACCUUGUAUCUUCUCUCUCAUGAAUGCGGCUUUUCCUCACAUUGGAGUGUAAAGUCUGAGAUUCCGUUUUGGACUUAGGACGGAUAUAGGGAAUUCGAUACGAAGGGGCCGUUUUGUCUCCAGGUGUGGGAGGCACACCUGGCUUAGACAAUCUAGGACCUUGCCUCCUUAGAAAUGGAACUGACAGCACAGACCCACCUAGCAAGGGCUGCUACUUAUUGACUUUAAUUGCAUGUCAGGCACAGCUGUAAACACUUUGCAGCUCUUGUAUGAUCCUUGCUGCACUCUCUGGAGGUUACUGUUCUUUUUCCCACUUAUGGAGUGAGUUAAUGUAUACUGAGCUUAUUUAUUUAUUGGUUUAUUUUUUCAGAUUUUACAUUUAUUAAGUGAAGGAGAGAAUUAAUGUAGGUAGAGUUUAGUGCACUCAAGAUCCCAGAGACAGUAAAAAGCAAAAGCAGAAUUUAAACUCUGGAGCUACAUGUCUUCCUCAUUAUACUGAACUAUUUCAAGAAGAUUACCCAAAUAGGAAAAGAACCAAAGGAUGAGGACUGUUCUCCCCUGCCCAGCCCUCUGCUGGAACAAAACUCCAUAACUCGGGUUUAUUCAUGAGGCUAGCCUUUGGCUUCUCUCAGUAGGUCAUGAAUUUGAAUGUCUUUUUCUACUCUGUGUGUGUGGUUUUUUUGUUUUGUACUUUAAAAAAUUUUAACAAGAUAAAUAUCCUAGAAGGAAAAGCACUGUUUUACUUAGACAAAUACAUCCCAGAAUAUUUACAGGCUUAAAAAAUACCAUUGGAUCAUCUGCCUGGUUCUUUACAAAAGCUGAAAGUAAAACUGCAUGAUUUGGUAAAAACUUUUCAAUGAGACAGGUAUUGUAAGGAUCCACAGAUGAAUUGCAUAUUCUGCAAUUGUUUCUCCAAAAUAAAAGUACAUGGUAUCGUUUUAUUAUUACAAUUAUUAGGUUCUGUACUAAGUGACUUAGACAUAUUUUCUCACAUUGAUAUGCAUGCAUGUCAUAGUUACUGCUAUCAGGUAUCAGUUAUCUAUUGUCACAGCAAUGUUACAUAACAAAAUCCCACAAAGCCUCAGUGGCAAAAGCAAGUAUUUAUUGCUUAUACAGGUAGGUUGACUGGCGAAGUGGAUCUGCCAACCUUGACUGGAUCAGCUCAUGACACCAGCUCUUUGGAUCACUGAGACUGAUCUAGCCUGGCCUUAGCUAGAAUAAACAAGGCAAUCCAGCUCCUCCAUUUUUCUCUCAUUCUCCAGCAGGCUGGGCUGGACCUGUUCUGUCGGUGACUGCAAGCUCUGAUUGCAAGCUCCACACAAGCCUAACUGCAAUGUGUCGGCUAAUGGAAAGCAAGCCAAAUAGAUAAAUGUGAGGAUGUGGAAUUAUGCGCUGCAUCCCAUGGAAGAGUAUUGGAGAAUAGCAUGGCAAAAGUUUUGGAGAUGUGUCUUCAGGGCAGAUUCCUAGAAGUGGGAUGGCUCAGUUGAGAGGUUUUACAGGAAUACGUAGUUCCAGUUUUUGUUGUAUUCAGGAGAAAGAAAGCACGGUGUGUUGAGGAAGAGGAGUCUUCUUCGUGGCUCCUCCAAUUCAGGAAAGCCUAAAUUGGAUGCAAGAGAUGAAAAAGGCUUCAGCUGCUUCUAUAGAAGUUACUGAAAUCUUCAGGUAAAAUACCAUAUAUUCUGGCCUUUGAUUGUGUUCUCUUAAACCCUUGUGUUUCAUGUGUGUCAAGUCUUGACCUCUCCAUAGCACUUGAGCAUUUGAGGUCAGAGCUUUGCCUCCUAUUUCUUUUGUGUUAUUCUCUCUGAGUCCCUAGUAGGUGUUCAAAUAUACUUGUUUAAGGGAAAUGAACUGUUAAUGUCUGAUGGCAAUUACCAUUGUCAAACAGUUUGAUGUUAGGGUUGGUGUCAUUGAUUCAUCUGGACAAUCCCCCAAAGCAAUUCCUAAAGCCCUGGUGAAUUAUUUUAUUUGGUAAGGUAAUUUACUCAAUUAUUCUUAAGCAAAUCACUUUUAGUUUUCUUAACUCAAGUAGAUCGCUCUAUUGGUCUUAUUUUCUCCCUGUUCACAAUUUCCCCCAAACAUCUGUCUGUUUAUCUGUAUACUUCUCUAUUUUCCCCAACUUCUAUCUUCCAAACUUCUCUCUAUCCCCAAACAUCUGAACCUUUGACUUUCAGAGGAUGUUGCCUUCAUUCCUCCAAACAGUUUCUGGCUACCGUGUGCUCAUUUGUCUGGAGUUCUUGACCACAGUGAAGCCACUUGUAUUUGUUUUGGAUGCCUGCCUACCCAGACUUGCAUGAUUAUUAUAUUUACUAUCA
This is a non-coding RNA of Sus scrofa (pig), 5243 nucleotides long. NCBI's taxonomy places the organism in Eukaryota, Metazoa, Chordata, Mammalia, Artiodactyla, Suidae. The record is from RefSeq and is a predicted model, not a curated record.